CUGCCGUCAGAAGCAGGAGGCACUGCGGC
RNAcentral lists this small RNA (29 nucleotides) under Bombyx mori (domestic silkworm). RNAcentral describes it as "ovarian small RNA-14913". Lineage: Eukaryota; Metazoa; Arthropoda; Insecta; Lepidoptera; Bombycidae. The record is from RNAcentral.